Molecule: ribosomal RNA, 434 nt
Filed under: uncultured Clostridium sp.
Lineage: Bacteria; Bacillati; Bacillota; Clostridia; Eubacteriales; Clostridiaceae
Description: partial 16S ribosomal RNA
Rfam family: Bacterial small subunit ribosomal RNA
Source: RNAcentral
ACGGAAGGCAGCAGUGGGGAAUAUUGCACAAUGGGGGAAACCCUGAUGCAGCGACGCCGCGUGAGUGAAGAAGUAUUUCGGUAUGUAAAGCUCUAUCAGCAGGGAAGAAAAUGACGGUACCUGACUAAGAAGCCCCGGCUAACUACGUGCCAGCAGCCGCGGUAAUACGUAGGGGGCAAGCGUUAUCCGGAUUUACUGGGUGUAAAGGGAGCGUAGACGGCGAGGCAAGUCUGAUGUGAAAACCCGGGGCUCAACCCCGGGACUGCAUUGGAAACUGUCAGGCUUGAGUGCAGGAGAGGUAAGUGGAACUCCUAGUGUAGCGGUGAAAUGCGUGGAUAUUAGGAGGAACACCAGUGGCGAAGGCGGCUUACUGGACUGUAACUGACGUUGAGGCUCGAAAGCGUGGGGAGCAAACAGGAUUAGAUACCCUGGUA